Molecule: small nuclear RNA, 194 nt
Organism: Etheostoma spectabile (orangethroat darter)
Lineage: Eukaryota; Metazoa; Chordata; Actinopteri; Perciformes; Percidae
Product: U2 spliceosomal RNA
Exons: 1
Source: RefSeq, a predicted model, not a curated record
AUCGCUUCUCGGCCUUUUGGCUAAGAUCAAGUGUAGUAUCUGUUCUUAUCAGUUUAAUAUCUGAUAUGUCCUCUAUCAGGGGACAACAUAUUAAAUGGAUUUUUAGAUUAGAUUAGAUUAGAUUAGAUUCAACUUUAUUGUCAUUACACAUGUACAGGUACAAGGCAACGAAAUACAGUUUGGGUCUAACCAGA